CGACAGGCGGGCGGGGCUCGGGGCGCCGGGGGGGGCAGCGCGGAGCCGCCGCCAUUUUGUGAGCAGCGAGCGGCGAAGGGGGCGCAGGCCGGCGCCAUGGUGAAGCUGUUCAUCGGGAACCUGCCGCGGGAGGCGACGGAGCAGGAGAUCCGCGCGCUGUUCGAGCAGUACGGCAAGGUGCUGGAGUGCGACAUCGUCAAGAACUACGGCUUCGUGCACAUCGAGGACCGCACGGCGGCCGAGGACGCCAUCCGCAACCUGCACCACCACAAGCUGCACGGCGUCUGCAUCAACGUGGAGGCCAGCAAGAACAAGAGCAAGGCCUCCACCAAGCUGCACGUGGGCAACAUCAGCCCCACCUGCACCAACCUGGAGCUGCGGGCCAAGUUCGAGGAGUACGGCCCCGUCAUCGAGUGCGACAUCGUCAAGGACUACGCCUUCGUGCACAUGGAGCGGGCGGAGGACGCGGUGGAGGCCAUCCGCGGGCUGGACAACGCCGAGUUCCAAGGCAAGCGGAUGCGCGUGCAGUUGUCCACGAGUCGGCUCAGGACCGCGCCCGGGAUGGGAGACAAGAGCGGCUGCUACCGGUGCGGGAAGGAAGGGCACUGGUCUAAAGAGUGUCCGGUAGAUCGCCCGGGGCAAGUGGCUGACUUUACCGAGGCCUAUAACGAGCAGUACGGAGCCGUGCGCACUCCCUACACCGCGGGCUAUGGGGAGACCAUGUAUUACGAUGACGCGUACAGCGGGAUGGCCGACUACUACAAGCGCUACCGCGUCAGGUCCUAUGCGACGGCCUCUGCAUACGAUGCCUAUGCAGAGCAGACCAUGGCCCAGUACUCCCAGUACGCCCAGUACUCCCAGGUCCAGUCCACGGCCAUGGCCGCCACCACAGCCAUGGCCAGUCGCAUCCCCACCACCCUAGACCCCUACGAUAGAGCUCUGCUGCCCACCCCGGGCGCGGCCGCCGCGGUCGCUGCCGCCGCCACCGCCGCGGCGGCGGCGGCCUCCUCCACCUAUUACACCCGGGAUAGAAGCCCCCUGCGCCGCACGGCAGCCGCGGCCACCACCGUCGGAGAGGCGUACACUUACGAUCGUAGUCAGCUGUCGCCGGUCUCGUCGGUCGCUCGGGCCUCCCUCUACGACAUGCAGCGCUUCGGGCGCGACCCGUACGCGGACAGGGCGCGGUACUCUGCCUUUUGAGCCGAGGAGGGCGCUGGCGCCGCCGCUGCCGCCGCGCAGGGCUCGGCACAGCCCCGGCUCUGAGGCGGGCGCUGAACUGUGCUUCUCUCUUUCAGCAGCGGGCCGGGGCCGCUUUUCUUUCCUCAGGCUGUGUUUCCUCCCCGGCAGCCACCCCGAGCCAGCGCUGACUCCGUGAUCUCGGUGUGCACGGGGGGUCCCAGCCCUCCGACAGGCCCGACGCAAGUGGCGAGGGGGCCACCAGCGCCCUGCCGCCGCCCCAACGUUCCCCAAACAAGAAGACAAGGGACAGCAAACGCUUUUACAAGCUUUAAUGAUGGUUCCAGCAGCAAGGAAGAGCCCGGCGUGGCCCAAGCGAGCCACUCAGCCACACGGAGGGAUCAGCGACGCUCGCCCCGGGCUGAGCGAGCCGAUUACAUUCGAGAGCUACUCCGAUAAAACCGAAGUGUCGCCGGAAGGAGCCGAUCAAAUUUCACUUAGUGAACGCUGAGAGAAAAACAAAACGUUGGCCGGAGAGAAAACCUGCAAGCGCCGCGGUUAAACAUGAGCAGGGCGAGUGGGGACACCCUGAAUGACCAAAACACCGCCCGAGGGGACCAUCCCCCACGGGAGGCCACCACGCUGAUGUGGCAUCCUGUCCCCGGAGGCGUCCCUACUCCCUCUGCUUGCAGAAAUUUAUAAUUUCUUUCAGAAACCUGCUGCCACCCCCCCCCCCAAAACAGAGCAGCUCUGGGCAGAGACGCGUGCAACAACCGCGCGUGGCCGACGCUGCGGCCCCAAACCCGCUGGUUUGCCUCUAGCAGGGACAGGGAGCGCGGUGGGAUGCGGCCUGACCCCGCCGCAAGAUGUCCCCGAACGGCCGGGCUGGGAAAAGAAAUACAGAGGACAAGGGUUUCUAAACGGAAAA
This is an RNA transcript of Cygnus atratus (black swan), 2104 nucleotides long. It is a transcript of the gene named RNA-binding protein 4B-like, with no coding region annotated. The transcript has 5 exons. NCBI's taxonomy places the organism in Eukaryota, Metazoa, Chordata, Aves, Anseriformes, Anatidae. The record is from RefSeq and is a predicted model, not a curated record.